RNAcentral lists this ribosomal RNA (253 nucleotides) under uncultured bacterium. RNAcentral's name for it is "partial 16S ribosomal RNA". It matches the Rfam family "Bacterial small subunit ribosomal RNA", at positions 524 to 776 of the family's 1533-position model. The record is from RNAcentral.
UACGUGGGGUCCGAGCGUUGUCCGGAAUUACUGGGCGUAAAGAGCUCGUAGGUGGUUUGUCACGUUGUUCGUGAAAACUCACAGCUCAACUGUGGGCGUGCGGGCGAUACGGGCAGACUAGAGUACUGCAGGGGAGACUGGAAUUCCUGGUGUAGCGGUGGAAUGCGCAGAUAUCAGGAAGAACACCCGUGGCGAAGGCGGUUCUCUGGGACGGUACUGACGCUGAGACGCGAAAGCGUGGGGAGCGAACAGG